Molecule: long non-coding RNA, 1627 nt
Filed under: Apis dorsata (giant honeybee)
Lineage: Eukaryota; Metazoa; Arthropoda; Insecta; Hymenoptera; Apidae
Description: uncharacterized LOC102673406, transcript variant X4
Source: RNAcentral
UUCAAUUAUUUUAAUAAUUUCUAAAUAUUAGUAUUGUGAUAUGCUAAAAAAAAAAGAAAUAUUUUUUACUUUGAAAUACAACUUUCUUACCUAAAAUAAUGUUAGUCUAAUGUUCGAAGUAGAAUUGUUGCUUGUUGAAUUCAUAGCCAUUCGUUUAAUGACAAUUUUAUUGCGCGAAAAAUGAUUAAUGGCACGUUAUUUGCUCGCUGAGGGAAAUACUCGGUGAUAGGUUAAUGGACGUAAAAAAUGAACAGGCUGGCGUAAAGCGGCAGAGAGAUACGAGCCUCGACGAUGAUAGAUAUGGUUUAACCAGUCGUAAUUGUUUUGCGUUCGCUCUUAAUUGGGGCUACUUGUUCGUUACGUUUCUUCCGAAUGGGUAAGAAGCUAUGAAGUUUUAAUAAAUGCCUUGAUCGAGCUGUUAACAUGUUCUGUGGGGAAACAGGUAAAAAAAAAAAUCUUCAAUUCGUUAGUCAGCUUGUAUCAUCAUUAAUAAUAAACACAAAAAACGAAGAAUAAUGGAAUCAUAACUUGAAUUCACAAAUCGAUCGUAAAAUAAAGGUUAUUUUUUAUCUCUCUUUCUCUCUCUUGAUUCAUUGUUUCACUUCAACGAUGUAUUGCAGUUUUAUUAUUGAUUCAAAUGAACAAGACCAUUGGAUAGCCAGACUUUCCACAUCCUGUGUUUAGACUUUCUGAGUGAUUUCUAGGUCAGAUAACAAUUGGAAUAACUCGAUUGAAUUGGUAUACCGAUCAGUGAGACGGCAAAGGUGGUCGGCUCGCUUUCGAAAGUGAUGACCCCAGGGAGCGGUAAAGAUGCGUGCAGGUGCUUCCUCCUUGCAUUUUAUACCUAGAACAACACUAAUGCGAUGAAGAUUAGCUUACUUAAGUUCCCAUGAACUAUUUUUGAGCUUAAUCGUUUGCACUGAUCUCCUGUUAUACGUUGUAUACGUACGCCAGCUAGGUUGUAAUAGAUAAUUACUCCUGCGACCAGGUAGGGGGAUAGACGUUCCUGGAUCGCUAAUGAGCUUCUGGAAUAUUAUCGAUGCUCACGGUAAUGCUUAUAACUGCUUUUCAACUGAGAUUGUAAAUUUUCCGUUGUUCACUGAUUUCUGAGGGAAAGAUGCACGCCGAUUAUGCAUUGGUGGAAUAUAAUAGUGUUUUAAAGAAACACUGUUGCUUCUGAACGAAGAAUUAUCAAUAGAUUUGCCAGAAUGAAGCGAAGACGGACAUAUAUAUACUCAGAAAUGCAAAGAUAUUCAAAUAAUUGCUUCUUACGAAAUAGAAAUGAAUAUCGUAUAAUUCUUGGAAGGAAAAUAAACUGUAUAUUCUUCUUGAAUUCCAGAUGAUUAAAGCGCAAGCAUUAAGAUUUGUACAUAAAUACUCGAUCUUGCGUAAUAGAAAAACAUUGAAUUGUGAUCCCUUGACGAACUCGAAAAAAUUACAUGGCGAAAACUAUUGCAACGUCGGAAGUGGCAAUGCUCGGGAAGCGUACGGUUCUCAAAGGGUUAAUUGGGCAUAGUAAUUCUUCAGGUGACCAAGCUCCAUGGGAGUGGAACGGAGAAAACCCAGUUUUAUGCUUCGCAUUAAGUGCUUAUAUCUAUAUCUUUAUGUUGUAUCUGCUAAUUUAUAA